CCAUACUCUGUCUAUAAAGGGACUCUAGGCUGCAUUUCAUACAGUAAUCAAUUUCUCGUUUAUUUUUGUUCUGUUGUAUCAGCUUAUAAGGGUAGAGCUAUCGUCACCUCCAUUCUUCAAGCCGAGAUCGUCCUCUGUACUACUUUGGUCCUCAACUUUGGAUCCCAGGGUAGAUCUCGACGGCAAAAGUCUACCGGAUGGACGCAAGUCCCUCUUUCUCUGGAUGUCUCAACUCCAUUUUUGCUUGAUUUUGCUGUAAUGCUAACAGAUGGAACUGGUAAGUAUUUGGUGCAAAUCGACGACUUCGAAGUUCGGUAUACUCCUUGUACAAAACCGAACCACCAACACGCAGAAGUGGAUCGGAAGAAGGGUACACGGAGAUUUCAAUGGGUUAAUAAGCUCCUUCCCACGUCAUCUCGAUUUCGCUUGAAGUCCCAUUCAAGAUCGUCCGUAGCCGCAUCUUUGAAUUCGUCACCAAGUUCAUCGGUCAACUCUUUCGGUUAAAAAAAAACGUGGCCAUUGAAUUCGGAUUCGAGUAUUCGACGCAUCACUAUUUUUGCAGCAAUGUUAUUCUAUAUUUUACAAAUAUAAUUCUCCAUUUUUAACUAUAUUACUCAUAAUAAAACUAUAAUGCUUAGUUUCUAUCUUAAAUGUUUACAGAUGUACCUAUAGAGUGUACCUGUUAAAUCGUGCCCUUGCAGAAGACGCCAUUUAUUCGUAAAUUCUCUAUUUUAAGAUAAAUCGCACUAUCGACGAGAUUAUUCUUAACGCCACGACCCCCCCCCCCCCGCUUCAAAUGUUCAUCACACCAUUUCGCAGGGAAAAUACAGGAAAAAAGUUCCAAAAAUUUUAAUUAGUGUCAACAUUUUUUGAACUUUCAUGAGUACCAGUGCAAGACUGAGCUACCUGAGCUGGACACUCCCCACCCUCAGUCUUGCACUGGUACUCAUCAGAGCUCAAAAAAUGUUUUAGCUCUUAUUGCAUUUUUGGAACUUUUUGCCUUUGUUUCCCCCGCAAAAUGGUGUGGACCCAGCACUAUUUUACCACGUUGUUAUAUCCAGUGCGGGCCACUUUUCGGUGUCUUUUCCUCGUUUAAUGCUUACACAAUUAGGAUAUUAUAUAUCUAAAAUCUUAAUGGAAUUGGCUGACUUAUUGUCAGCAAGUCAGUGUUUAAUCGGCGAAAAUGCACUUCCCGUCGGGGUGGUAGUCAUGUCCCCCGCAUACAGGGCCGCAGCCACAGUCGAGAUGUUCGGUUCCGGGGCCGUACAGUUCCUGGUAUGUUUUCCACGUUAGAAUUUCGACGGGGCCGGAGCCGUCGUCGAAAAUGAACUCUCCACUCUCGAUCUGCUCCGGAGACACACCUCGCAUUGACUUGGCCAAAGGACAUCCGUUCUUAAACCAGCAGGUCUUGUGCGUUUUGCCGUAAAGAAUGUAGUCGCGCCAGUGACACCGGUUGCAACUGAAGUUCCGGUGUGGGAGGGCUUUGUCCUGCAAACGCUUCAAGACUGCUACCACGCGGUGGCGAUCGUACCCUUUACCCGGGGAUAUUUUCCGAACCUUGACUGAGAAUUUGUGGCUUUUUCCCAUCGGGAGAUCAAUCGUCUUUAGCCGAAAAACUGAUUUCAGUGGGCAUGCCUGAAAUUCAAAGGUCGAAAAAGAGGUCAGAACAAUACGCACUCGUUGAUUAGUGACAACAAAAUGAAAUAAAAUUGAUUGACAUAUUCGCGUUUUAAUAUAAAGAAUAAACGAUUUAGACGGCGGGUAACGAGGCUAAUUAUUACACAACUAAUGCCGAAACGUCUUGGUAUUAUUUGUGUGAUAAUCAGCCUCGUUACCCCCUGUUUAAAAUCU
This 1851-nucleotide long non-coding RNA is filed under the name Bemisia tabaci. RNAcentral's name for it is "lncRNA ENSSSA1UGG006872". Lineage: Eukaryota; Metazoa; Arthropoda; Insecta; Hemiptera; Aleyrodidae. The record is from RNAcentral.